Long non-coding RNA from Anguilla anguilla (European eel), 910 nucleotides. RefSeq lists it as uncharacterized. Lineage: Eukaryota; Metazoa; Chordata; Actinopteri; Anguilliformes; Anguillidae. The record is from RefSeq and is a predicted model, not a curated record. The transcript has 3 exons.
CUCUGGCUGCUAGCUAGUUAUAUUUGUAAACACACUUCUACGGAUACCACAAAGGGCCAUUAUAAAUCCGUCAGAUUCGAAAAUGAAAGUUAAACAUGAAGAUGGUCUCAUGUGACUGUGUGUGACACUCGUGGUAAAUGAUCCCGUCUGGCUGCUGAUUGUGGAAAAGGAACCGGCCGGGUCAGAAGAGGAACAGGUGUAAACGCAGGACCAGUCCCGUGACUCGCUCCCCAAAGAGAGGCCAGCGCGGACGUGCGACCGUGUUUCCGGAACUGUCCGCCUCAUCUCCGGGUGCCUCGCAGUAGCGCAGUGUGGGACCGACUGAGAGGUUUUCAGACUGAUUUAUGGUUGGCUUUGCUCCCAGACUCCCAUUGGUCAAUGAAAUAACAUUGCAGUGCAGUGCAGACGUAAUGGAAUGUCAAAGUGCUGUUUUGGGAAUGUAGGGAAUGUAUUGUUAAAGGGGAAUCAUUUAUGAUUCAUUUUGCUGAUGAGUACAAUUGUCAAAAAAAUUCAACAAUGUUAUUUUUGUACAUAUAAAUCCUAAGUGAUUCCAAAAAUAGGCAGCAAGUAUUGUGCUGAAAUAUUUGCUGCAUAUCUACAGUAUUAUUUCAAAGCAGUGCCAGUAAGUGCCAAGGUUAAAAUGAAAGACAAGGCUAUCGACCCCUUCUGUGUAACUAAAAUACAUUCUGAGGUGACCUAUGCAUUAAUAAUGAAGAACCAACCUCUGCCCGGUCCUAAAGUGGUAAAUGAAGCUCAGGCAUUGAUCCAAACACCAAAAUAUCUGUCUGUAAUGGAUAUUUGAUGGCAUUGGAAACUGCAAAUGGUUGUUAACUGUGUAUUUGUCACUCUACCCUGCAGCAAGAUAUUCCAUUCUUUUCUGUUGUCAAAUAAAGCACCGAUUUGAUUUGAA